AACAAACGCUGGCGGCGUGCCUAACACAUGCAAGUCGUACGAGAAAGUCGGCUUCGGCCGAUGAGUACAGUGGCGCACGGGUGAGUAGCGCGUGGGUAAUCUGCCCCCCGGUCAGGAAUAACCCGCCGAAAGGCGGGCUAAUACCCGAUAACACUGACGCUCCGCGGAGCGUCUUUCAAAGAAGGCCUCUGUUUACAAGCUUUCGCCGGAGGAUGAGCCCGCGUACCAUUAGCUAGUUGGCAGGGUAAUGGCCUACCAAGGCUACGAUGGUUAGCUGGUCUGAGAGGAUGAUCAGCCACACUGGAACUGAGACACGGUCCAGACUCCUACGGGAGGCAGCAGUGAGGAAUAUUGCGCAAUGGGGGCAACCCUGACGCAGCAACGCCGCGUGAGUGAGGAAGGUUUUCGGACUGUAAAGCUCUGUCGAGCGGGAAGAAAUGUACCAUGGCUAAUAUCCAUGAUAUUUGACGGUACCGCUAGAGGAGCACCGG
This 491-nucleotide ribosomal RNA is filed under the name uncultured bacterium. Its description in RNAcentral is "bacterial SSU rRNA". It matches the Rfam family "Bacterial small subunit ribosomal RNA", at positions 29 to 496 of the family's 1533-position model. The record is from RNAcentral.